ACGCUGGCGGCAGGCCUAACACAUGCAAGUCGAGCGGUAGAGAGAAGCUUGCUUCUCUUGAGAGCGGCGGACGGGUGAGUAAUGCCUAGGAAUCUGCCUGGUAGUGGGGGAUAACGUCCGGAAACGGACGCUAAUACCGCAUACGUCCUACGGGAGAAAGCAGGGGACCUUCGGGCCUUGCGCUAUCAGAUGAGCCUAGGUCGGAUUAGCUAGUUGGUGGGGUAAUGGCUCACCAAGGCGACGAUCCGUAACUGGUCUGAGAGGAUGAUCAGUCACACUGGAACUGAGACACGGUCCAGACUCCUACGGGAGGCAGCAGUGGGGAAUAUUGGACAAUGGGCGAAAGCCUGAUCCAGCCAUGCCGCGUGCGUGAAGAAGGUCUUCGGAUUGUAAAGCACUUUAAGUUGGGAGGAAGGGCAGUAAAUUAAUACUUUGCUGUUUUGACGUUACCGACAGAAUAAGCACCGGCUAACUCUGUGCCAGCAGCCGCGGUAAUACAGAGGGUGCAAGCGUUAAUCGGAAUUACUGGGCGUAAAGCGCGCGUAGGUGGUUCGUUAAGUUGGAUGUGAAAUCCCCGGGCUCAACCUGGGAACUGCAUUCAAAACUGACGAGCUAGAGUAUGGUAGAGGGUGGUGGAAUUUCCUGUGUAGCGGUGAAAUGCGUAGAUAUAGGAAGGAACACCAGUGGCGAAGGCGACCACCUGGACUGAUACUGACACUGAGGUGCGAAAGCGUGGGGAGCAAAC
Molecule: ribosomal RNA, 745 nt
Filed under: uncultured bacterium
Lineage: Bacteria
Description: bacterial SSU rRNA
Rfam family: Bacterial small subunit ribosomal RNA
Source: RNAcentral